This 1557-nucleotide ribosomal RNA is filed under the name Vibrio parahaemolyticus. RNAcentral describes it as "partial 23S ribosomal RNA". It matches the Rfam family "Bacterial large subunit ribosomal RNA", at positions 586 to 2130 of the family's 2925-position model. Lineage: Bacteria; Pseudomonadati; Pseudomonadota; Gammaproteobacteria; Vibrionales; Vibrionaceae. The record is from RNAcentral.
UUGUCCUGUGACUGCGUACCUUUUGUAUAAUGGGUCAGCGACUUAUAUUCAGUGGCAAGGUUAACCAUCUAGGGGAGCCGUAGGGAAACCGAGUCUUAACUGGGCGUUCAGUCUCUGGAUAUAGACCCGAAACCAGGUGAUCUAGCCAUGGGCAGGUUGAAGGUUGAGUAACAUCAACUGGAGGACCGAACCGACUAAUGUUGAAAAAUUAGCGGAUGACUUGUGGCUAGGGGUGAAAGGCCAAUCAAACCUGGAGAUAGCUGGUUCUCCCCGAAAGCUAUUUAGGUAGCGCCUCGGACGAAUACUACUGGGGGUAGAGCACUGUUAAGGCUAGGGGGUCAUCCCGACUUACCAACCCUUUGCAAACUCCGAAUACCAGUAAGUACUAUCCGGGAGACACACGGCGGGUGCUAACGUCCGUCGUGGAGAGGGAAACAACCCAGACCGCCAGCUAAGGUCCCAAAUUACUACUAAGUGGGAAACGAUGUGGGAAGGCUCAGACAGCCAGGAUGUUGGCUUAGAAGCAGCCAUCAUUUAAAGAAAGCGUAAUAGCUCACUGGUCGAGUCGGCCUGCGCGGAAGAUGUAACGGGGCUAAGUAGUAAACCGAAGCUGCGGCAAUAUACUUUUGUAUAUUGGGUAGGGGAGCGUUCUGUAAGCGGUUGAAGGUGUGUGGUAACGCAUGCUGGACGUAUCAGAAGUGCGAAUGCUGACAUGAGUAACGAUAAAGGGGGUGAAAAACCUCCUCGCCGGAAGACCAAGGGUUCCUGUCCAACGUUAAUCGGGGCAGGGUAAGUCGACCCCUAAGGCGAGGCCGAAAGGCGUAGUCGAUGGGAAACGGGUUAAUAUUCCCGUACUUCUUACAAUUGCGAUGGGGGGACGGAGAAGGCUAGGUGGGCCUGGCGACGGUUGUCCAGGUUCAAGUGCGUAGGCUUAAGAGUUAGGUAAAUCCGGCUCUUUUUAAGGCUGAGACACGACGUCGAGCACCUACGGGUGUGAAGUCAUUGAUGCCAUGCUUCCAGGAAAAGCCUCUAAGCUUCAGAUUGUAAGGAAUCGUACCCCAAACCGACACAGGUGGUCGGGUAGAGAAUACCAAGGCGCUUGAGAGAACUCGGGUGAAGGAACUAGGCAAAAUGGUACCGUAACUUCGGGAGAAGGUACGCUCUCGACGGUGAAGUCCCUUGCGGAUGGAGCUAUUGAGAGUCGCAGAUACCAGGUGGCUGCAACUGUUUAUUAAAAACACAGCACUGUGCAAAAUCGUAAGAUGACGUAUACGGUGUGACGCCUGCCCGGUGCCGGAAGGUUAAUUGAUGGGGUUAGACUUCGGUCGAAGCUCUUGAUCGAAGCCCCGGUAAACGGCGGCCGUAACUAUAACGGUCCUAAGGUAGCGAAAUUCCUUGUCGGGUAAGUUCCGACCUGCACGAAUGGCGUAAUGAUGGCCACGCUGUCUCCACCCGAGACUCAGUGAAAUUGAAAUCGCUGUGAAGAUGCAGUGUACCCGCGGCUAGACGGAAAGACCCCGUGAACCUUUACUACAGCUUGGCACUGAACAUUGACCC